Molecule: non-coding RNA, 22 nt
Filed under: Arabidopsis thaliana (thale cress)
Lineage: Eukaryota; Viridiplantae; Streptophyta; Magnoliopsida; Brassicales; Brassicaceae
Source: RNAcentral
UCACUUCUCCUGACAACCUGCA